UACGUAGGGGGCAAGCGUUGUCCGGAUUCAUUGGGCGUAAAGAGCGUGUAGGCGGCCAGGUAGGUCCGUUGUGAAAACUCGAGGCUCAACCUCGAGACGUCGAUGGAAACCAUCUGGCUAGAGUCCGGAAGAGGAGAGUGGAAUUCCUGGUGUAGCGGUGAAAUGCGCAGAUAUCAGGAAGAACACCUAUGGCGAAGGCAGCUCUCUGGGACGGUACUGACGCUGAGACGCGAAAGCGUGGGGAGCAAACAGG
RNAcentral lists this ribosomal RNA (253 nucleotides) under uncultured bacterium. RNAcentral describes it as "partial 16S ribosomal RNA". It matches the Rfam family "Bacterial small subunit ribosomal RNA", at positions 524 to 776 of the family's 1533-position model. The record is from RNAcentral.